RNAcentral lists this long non-coding RNA (1057 nucleotides) under Homo sapiens (human). RNAcentral's name for it is "PREDICTED lncRNA (TCONS_00224828)". The record is from RNAcentral. Lineage: Eukaryota; Metazoa; Chordata; Mammalia; Primates; Hominidae.
AGAUGCAGAGCAGGGGGCUGAUGGGAGAGGAAGGCUGCAGAGGGCCAGCAGACCUGUAGCAGCCACUUUAUCCAGAUCCUGCAGUUGAAGGAAGAAUACCUGCAGAGAGCCACAGGGCCCCGUGAGGUCAGCCCUGAGCCCUCCACCAGGGAGAAGGAGUGUCUGCUUGAAGGCCUGGACCACCCCACUUGCUGCCAGCCUGUCAGUGACCACCACCCAUUCACAGGAGACUGCGUGUUGGCCUCUUCCAGGGUGGAGGCAACUCCUUGGAACCACUUCCACAGUUUGGACAAGGAGCUUCAAAACUCGGCCAUGGCCAAGGUCUGUGGGUGAUGGGGUCAUGAGGCAUGGGUUGGGGCCUUUCCCACAUCAGGCUGGGCCCCAGAAUAUGUGGCCUGGGCCUGGAAGGAGCAGUCCCCUUUCUUAGCCUUUAGGGACAUGUUGCCUCCUGCUUCCUGUCUUGCCUAGGGGUGGGGUGGGGCUGCAGGCCUGGGGUCCUGGGCCUCCUCACCUGCUCAGAGACUGGCUGGACUCCUCUCCAAGGUUUGCCCAGCGAGGAGAAAAGUGAGGAAGAGAAAAUGAAGGAAGAGGACAGCUCAUUCAAGCUCUGUGUCCCAGGCAUUGUUGCCCUCCAGUCGCCACCGAACAAGGCUUUCAGAUCCACAGACACAGUGGGUAAGGGCUUCCGCCCUUCCCCUCCCACGUGCCCCCAGGUCCAGGAAGCCUCGCUUUGGGUUUCCUGGAGUCGGAGUUGAAGAAGCUUCUGGGAAUGCAGCAAGAGUCCCGCCUCUGGAAGCUAGGCAGCCAAGAGGGCCGAGAGCUGCUUACCCGGCCAGAGAUCACCGUGGUGGAGGUGAGCAUUGUGGAUGGCCAGGUACGCUUGGCCCGUGCCAGACCACCAACCCCUUCCUGGGUGUCCUCGGGUGCUUGUCUCUGGGGGCAGGGAGAAGGUUAUGAGGUGCAGAGAAGACUGAGGCAUCUUCCUUCACCCAUUUCUGUCGCCCAGUGCCUGCUUCUUGAGGAGAAAGGUGAGAUGGGAAACUGGCCUCCAGAGUGA